CCUACGGGCGGCAGCAGUGAGGAAUAUUGGUCAAUGGGCGCGAGCCUGAACCAGCCAAGUCGCGUGAGGGAAGACGGUCCUAUGGAUUGUAAACCUCUUUUGUCGGGGAGCAAAAGACGCCACGCGUGGCGUUCCGAGAGUACCCGAAGAAAAAGCAUCGGCAAACUCCGUGCCAGCAGCCGCGGUAAUACGGAGGAUGCGAGCGUUAUCAGGAUUUAUUGGGGUUAAAGGGUGCGCAGGCGGAAGAUGAAGUCGGCGGUAAAAUGUAGAGGCUCAACCUCGUCGAGCCGUUGAAACUGGUUUUCUGGAGUGAGCGAGAAGUAUGCGGAAUGCUUGGUGUAGCGGUAAAAUGCAUAGAUAUCACGCAGAACUCCGAUUGCGAAGGCAGCAUACUGGUGCUCAACUGACGCUCAUGCACGAAAGUGUGGGUAUCGAACAGGAUUAGAUACCCUUGUAGUC
Molecule: ribosomal RNA, 459 nt
Filed under: uncultured bacterium
Lineage: Bacteria
Description: partial 16S ribosomal RNA
Rfam family: Bacterial small subunit ribosomal RNA
Source: RNAcentral